AGGGUUGUAGCUCAAUGGUAGAGCACUUGCCUACCACGUGUGAGGCACUGGGUUCAAUUCUCAGCACCACAU
This is a non-coding RNA of Ictidomys tridecemlineatus (thirteen-lined ground squirrel), 72 nucleotides long. Lineage: Eukaryota; Metazoa; Chordata; Mammalia; Rodentia; Sciuridae. The record is from Rfam.